Molecule: long non-coding RNA, 519 nt
Filed under: Oryza brachyantha (malo sina)
Lineage: Eukaryota; Viridiplantae; Streptophyta; Magnoliopsida; Poales; Poaceae
Description: long non-coding RNA (OBRA_LNC001729)
Source: RNAcentral
UCGACAUUUUCAUUGGAUUCUCUAAACUGUAUUUCAAACAUUUUCAUUCUAAUCCAAAUGCAACAAAAUUUAGUACUCAUCGGUGAAAUCAGAAUAUAUAGGCUACACACAUUCUGAAUACCAAACUGAAACUUCCUAAUUAAUUAACGGUUUACCUGAAGCUGCAGUUUUCGUGGAAUCAAUAAAUUAAUGGAGAUGCAUGCAUGGUACUGAUCAGUCAGAUUAUCUAGCUAGCUCCAGGACAGCACAUAAUUACAUCAACAAAGUGUGCAAAUUCCUACAAUUUGAAGAACUAACGAAAAAGCUCGACACAGAUCUCACACAAAAGGAUUAGAUUAACUAGCUACCAGUAAUUAAGUUUUACUGAUCAGAUUCUAGUACUGCUACUGCGGCAGCAACACGAGAGCGAAAGCGGCAGCAAGCACGACGCGUAGGAGGCGCCCGAGCUCGCCGGCGGCGACGGUGGAGGCACCGCUGAUCUCCGAAGAGGCGACGGCGAGCGGCAGGGUUUCGGCGGGG